GAUGAACGCUGGCGGCGUGCCUAAUACAUGCAAGUCGAGCGAACAGAUGAGGCGCUUGCUUCUCUGACGUUAGCGGCGGACGGGUGAGUAACACGUGGAUAACCUACCUAUAAGACUGGGAUAACUUCGGGAAACCGGAGCUAAUACCGGAUAAUAUAUUGAACCGCAUGGUUCAAUAGUGAAAGACGGUUUUGCUGUCACUUAUAGAUGGAUCCGCGCCGCAUUAGCUAGUUGGUAAGGUAACGGCUUACCAAGGCGACGAUGCGUAGCCGACCUGAGAGGGUGAUCGGCCACACUGGAACUGAGACACGGUCCAGACUCCUACGGGAGGCAGCAGUAGGGAAUCCUCCGCAAUGGGCGAAAGCCUGACGGAGCAACGCCGCGUGUGUGAUGAAGGUCUUCGGAUCGUAAAACUCUGUUAUUAGGGAAGAACAAAUGUGUAAGUAACUAUGCACGUCUUGACGGUACCUAAUCAGAAAGCCACGGCUAACUACGUG
RNAcentral lists this ribosomal RNA (497 nucleotides) under uncultured bacterium. RNAcentral's name for it is "partial 16S ribosomal RNA". It matches the Rfam family "Bacterial small subunit ribosomal RNA", at positions 28 to 507 of the family's 1533-position model. The record is from RNAcentral.